This is a long non-coding RNA of Trachemys scripta elegans, 501 nucleotides long. RefSeq lists it as uncharacterized. The record is from RefSeq and is a predicted model, not a curated record. The transcript has 3 exons. NCBI's taxonomy places the organism in Eukaryota, Metazoa, Chordata, Testudines, Emydidae.
AGGAUACAAAUUUUAUACCCGAGGGACCUGUUACAUCCUGUGCAUGUGGGACUCCCAGUGGAGAUUAGACCUUCUGCAAGGACUGCAGAACCGUGCAAUACAGAAGAGAAAACUGGUGCUUUCUACUGUUCCAAGCCCUUCUAUGGAUGAAAUGGCAUCGCCAGAAUAACACAUACUGUAGCAUCUGUCAGAUAGACACACAGAAGCUUCAUCAACAAUCAAGGCUAACAUCAGCCUCCUCUAACCAGCCGGCUAGGGAAAUGAAUGGAAAGGCUUCUGCCCCAGUACUGACCUAGUGCUCCAGGACGAUGCAGGGGGCUGCUGGAGGUGCCAUUGUUCUGACCAUCAAACCAAGGUCCUGUCUCCCAAGAUCCUCUGACACUUUUAGUACUGUAGGGUGCGUAACCCUGGUUUCCACCCUCCCUGUUUGUAAUCUAAUUCCCUUUAAAAUGAUCAUUCAACCACAGGCUGUACCACAGGGACUGAUGACCGGACAUUUCA